GACGAACGCUGGCGGCGUGCUUAAUACAUGCAAGUCGAACGGAAAGGCCCUGCGUUUGCGGGGCGCACGAGUGGCGAACGGGUGAGUAAAACGUGAGUAAACCCCCCCUGUCUUUGGGAUAAAUUUUGGAAACUGGGGCUAAUAUACGAUAGGAGAUCCUGCUGCAUGGUGGGGGUUGGUAAGUUUCGGUGGUUGUGGAUGGAAUAGCGGCUUAUCAGCUUGUUGGUGGGGUAGUGGCUUACAAAGGCUUUGAAGGGUAGCCGGCCUGAGAGGGGGACCGGCCACCAUAGUACUGAGGUACGGACCAGUAUCCAACGGUAGGCAACGGUCGGAAAUAUUACGCAGUGGGCGGGAGCCAGAGACGGCGGCGCCGCGAGCGUGAUAACGGCCUUCUGGUUGUGAACCACUGUCUCCUGUGACGAGGCCUGAGUGACGGUAAUUAGUAAAGAAGCACCGGCUAACUACGUG
RNAcentral lists this ribosomal RNA (468 nucleotides) under uncultured bacterium. RNAcentral's name for it is "partial 16S ribosomal RNA". It matches the Rfam family "Bacterial small subunit ribosomal RNA", at positions 28 to 507 of the family's 1533-position model. The record is from RNAcentral.